Molecule: long non-coding RNA, 855 nt
Organism: Papaver somniferum (opium poppy)
Lineage: Eukaryota; Viridiplantae; Streptophyta; Magnoliopsida; Ranunculales; Papaveraceae
Exons: 4
Source: RefSeq, a predicted model, not a curated record
CCCUUGUAUUUGCUUAUUAAAUUUUUUUCUAGUCUCACAGAUAAUUGCUUAAUUUUGCGAAGUAUUCUCUUAUUAAGGGAUCAAUACCUAGCUGAAGUGAAUGUUGUCAGCACAUCCAAAACAAUGUUAUACUUGAUCAUGUCAAGUUGAUGUCGAACUUCCAAGGUCCUUGAGCUCUAGUGACCCCGGCUCAAUAAUUCCUUGAUCUCAAGCAAUUUUUCUCAAGGCAUCUAAUAUGGAUGGGUCUUAUUUAAAUGAGGAGUUGACUACCUAUCUAGCUAGUGCUACUCGUUCUAAUCUGCAUAUGGCAAAUGAGUUUGCUUAAUUUGUCUUCCUGUUUGCAUACAAUUCUUAUGGAAGUGGAACAGAGUCUCACAAGGAAUUUGCUGGAAGUAUUGAAAAUUCCCUUGGAGCCAGAAGAUGAAGUAAAAGGUUUUCUUGGAGAACAUUAGAAAUGAUUAAUAAUGUGUCGCAGGUUUGUUGUUACUUUUGACCAGGGAACUAAAAAGUAAGGCUAUACUUUAUUUUUGUGCCCGUAGUAUACUUUUGUUUGGGGUAGGACUGACGUUCAACCCAAAACCAUCAGCCAUGGAGAACUAAAAGCAGCCAUCCAAAGACAAGAUGAGAAGGAAGCUGAUAAUGACGCGGUUUACACCACUGACGAAGACCUUAACAUUGAAUUUGACUAUGAUAUGACAUUCUAAUAGCCUGCAAUUGGGCAAGCUGCAGUUUGUGCAUGCUGUUCACCUGUAUACAGUAGUCAUUUUUUUUCUUUUUCUUAUGAGGAAUUUAACCCUUUUCUGUCUUGUUUUGGUUGUAUGGAACUUUGGAACCAUAUAUGAAAACUGAAAGUGA